GAAUGAGGUGAUGAUUUGAACUUUGUGUUCCCUAUUGGUUUGAUUUGCCGCAAUGAUGGCAUCAAUGUAUUAGCUCUAUCUGAUCAUUC
This is a small nucleolar RNA of Malus domestica (apple), 89 nucleotides long. RefSeq annotates it as small nucleolar RNA Z102/R77. The record is from RefSeq and is a predicted model, not a curated record. Lineage: Eukaryota; Viridiplantae; Streptophyta; Magnoliopsida; Rosales; Rosaceae.